GUGUGCUAUUUUCAUUGGACAUAUUUUUUGGUCGGUGGAGAGAUUUCUCUCGUUUCUUCGAUAUUGUCGACCUUGAUUUUUUUUCUUUCUCUCCCAACGACGAAACGGCGAUUUUCUUCCCUUCGAUAUUGUGCCGAUCUCAUCUCCGCUGUCUCCUCGUCGAAGCCCAGUGAUUCCUCUGUCACAUCGGCGAUCUCUUCGUCUACUUUGUCUCCAUCGACGACGACGAGAGAAGCUGAUGAUGAGUAUUCUUGCAGUUAUGACACAAGAAGCUGAUGAGGUUUUACAAGAAAGUGACGACGAGAGAAGCUGAUGAUGGGAAUGGAUGGACUGUGAUGCUCGAUUACAGUUUACUGCUUUAAGCUAGUGAUCAGUAGUGGGUUUGAUUGAAUUUAGCUAGAAUCCUUGUGAUGUUUAAUCGAUUACAGUUUACUGCAUUAAGUUAGUGUCCCUAAUGUUUGAUCGGUUUCUUGGUUUUGCCGUCUGAUUUCUUAUGUGUUCAAUAGGUAGUGAACUCGAUGAGUGGCAAAUUUGAUAGUGUUCUGAAGCUCUGAUUUUGAUGAUGUUUAGCUAAAAUUUCCUGUAAUUUGGAUCUGUUUGAAUGUCUGUUGAAUGUCUAUUCAACAUAAAGCUGAGAAUUUGAAGCUAUACCAUGGUAGUUAAAAUUGUGAUGAUUGUAUUUGCAGUAGUUAAAUUAAGAUCACGAAGCUAUACCAUGGUAGUUAAAUUAAGAUCACGAAGCUAUAGGUUUGUUCCUUUCUUUCUUUCUUUUGCCUGGUGAAACAACGAUAUAGGUUUGUGUCUGUGGCUGUGUGUUCCAAACCAGGACAAUGACUCAUAUAUUUUCAAGGACGUACGAAAACAUCAAGGUUUAGCACUGAGAGGGAGGGGACUUAUCUUGUGGUGAUCGAUGUCUUGCAAACUCUAAAGGAGGUGUCUCUGAAGAUCUAGUAGGUGUUUCUUAGUUGAGCACUUUGAUCCCAGUUGAUCUUUAUAUAUCCUAGUCUUCUUAGCUUCUAUCAUGUUGUUAGUCGAAGCUUUUAAAAUGCCAAUGACAAGAGACUGCAUCUGCCCCCAGUGAUAGGCUUCCUGCUAAUUCCAAUUCUGACACGACUAGUGAUCCUGGUGUUGUGACUUGUAACUAAGCUCAAUCGUCAGGUCAGGCAAGUUAGACUCAUUUACUCACAAUCACUCAAUAAAUUCAUUUCAAUUCCCCAUCCAUAUGUGAGACUGAAGAUCACGAAGCUAUACCAUGGUACUUAUUCUUCUUGUUUUUACAAUGGGAUUUAAGAAUUUGAUGAAGUACCCAUGACUUCACACAAGUUGUUGUAUUUUCUUGUUUGUAUCUGUUUCAUGUUUUGGUAUUAGUUCUCUUAUUAGGAUUCAUUUGUGACUUUCAUUGAAAGUUAUACAAUUUGAAAUUUAUAUUAUUUGCAAUUUACAAUUUAAAUGUUAUUUUUUAAAGUUUUUAAAAUUGUAAUAUGUUUAAGAAUAUUUUAUUAUUAAAUCUAAUGAUCUUAAACAUGUUCUUCCUAUAACUAACUUUUUAGUAAAAGUUCUUAACAACUGAUCUUAGAUUAUUUUCCUAAUAUAUCUAAUCUAAGAACACUAAAAAGUGUUAUCCCUUUAAAGAUGCCCUAAUAGAAAGAUACGUUUCCAAGAUCUGAAGUUGAACAAGGCAAUUCACCUUUAAUAGUGGAGGCAUUAUUACCAAAUUUUUCAAUUACUUACGGUUAGUAUUAUUCAUCUGCCUUUUACUAAGAACGCUAUGCGGUCCCUGCUUCUCCUCAGCCGACUCUGUCUGAAGAAACCACCUGCGAUCGUAGUUAGACAUAUCGGUGGCGUCCGGUGGCUGUCGAAAACCCCUCUCUGUCAAAUCGUGUGCGCUGUACCUACUUUGGAGGAUGAGGAUGAGGAUAUCGGUAACCUUAUGAUUUUCGAUUAUGUUGCUGAUUCUCGUGGUGGGAGCAAGCUUCUGGAGAAGAGGGUGCCUAUGAAACUGUUGAAAGAAACGGGAACAAUAUGAGCAUCUCAUGGCUGGGUAGCUACUUUGAAAGACGGUGUAGUGCGUCUCCAAGAUGACCUCAACCCUAGUGCUUCAGAUUCAGACCCGAAGCGGAUCUCACUGCCCCCACUCGUAACUCUGCCUCAUUGCCAAACGCAAUUGGUUACCAACGUGGCCAUGUCCUCCUCUUCUCCUGAGGACGACGACUGCAUCGUGGCCGUCAAGUUCUUGGGUCCUCAGCUAAGCUUAUGUAGGCCUGCUCUCAAAGAAAAAGCCGAGUGGGUCAACAUCAGUAUCCCCGACCCUAGCUUCUUCGUCUCGUCCGGAGUCAUGUAUUCCGAGACAGACAAGAUGUUCUCCAUGCCGGCCUGUGGAGGCACACACACGGGAUCUUGGGAUCUUGAAAAACACAGGGACAAACCCAAGAUGCAGACAUGGAGCUUUGAGGACCUUCCUGAGUUGGUGCAGUCAUGCUUGCAACGACUAGAUUCGUGUUGUACGACAGAUCACUUGGUGGAGUCACGACCGACGGGAGAAAUGUUUAUGGUUAAGUGGUUCAGAAAAAGAAACAACGAUGAGGGAGGGAGAAUAGAAGGGAGGCAUAUAAUGGUGUUCAAGCUAGACGGGGAUGGAAAUGCUUUGUACACUGAUGACAUUGGAGAUCUCUGCAUUUUCCUGUCCAAAUCUGAACCUUUCUGUGUCAAGGCUAGCUUGUAUGGCCUUCAUAAAAACUGCGUCUAUUUCGUAGACAACAACGAACGGGGAAUAGUCUUUCUGGCUAUGAAUAAUGAAGCUCGUAUAUUUAGUACUUACCCGGCCUUCAUAAAAUCCAUCUAAUUUAUUUUCUACUAAUUAAUUAUACACUAUUAGUAUCUCUUACAGCUGCAUGUAGUAAAAACAGCUCAAAUAUGACUCAAAACAAGCCAUGGAUACAGCUUACUAGACAGCACAU
RNA transcript from Camelina sativa (false flax), 2957 nucleotides. RefSeq lists it as uncharacterized. The record is from RefSeq and is a predicted model, not a curated record. NCBI's taxonomy places the organism in Eukaryota, Viridiplantae, Streptophyta, Magnoliopsida, Brassicales, Brassicaceae.